This is a non-coding RNA of Pelobates cultripes (western spadefoot toad), 713 nucleotides long. NCBI's taxonomy places the organism in Eukaryota, Metazoa, Chordata, Amphibia, Anura, Pelobatidae. The record is from the annotation of a GenBank genome assembly.
AAAACCUCUUCCCAUCUUUCUCUGGCUUUGAUUGUGUGUGUAGAGGUCCCAAAUUGGGCGUUCAGUGUUGUCUCGUACAGUAGGUUAGUUGAGAUUUGCGAUAGUAGUUCUUUUUUUCCGGGUCUGGUGGUCUGUUUCCAGGCUCUUGCGAUCAGUGUGUUUGCUGCUAUUAGUUUGUGGAAUACAAGUGUCGCUUGUGGUUUUUUGUGCAGCUCUAGUGUCAUAAACAGUAACCCACAUUCGGGUUGUAGGGGCGUACCCGUGUUUAGUGCUUCCUCAAUGAUUUCUCCCACCUCUUUCCAGAAGGGUUUUAUCAGGCUGCAUGUCCACCAUAUAUGGUACAGGGACCCCUCCUCUGUCUUACAUCUCCAGCAUUCUUUGGUUGCAUGUGGGUACAUUUGCGCCAGUCUAGUCGGCACCAUGUACCACCUAUACUGUAAUUUCCUCAGGAGCUCCAGGUGUGAUGCACACCUAGAUCUCCCUUUGUGGGCAGUGAAAGCUGUUUGCCAUUGGCUGUCGGUGAAACGUUAAACCCUACCUAACUACUGUGAAUGUUGAUGUUCUGGCAGAGCUUCUCUCCAAGCACCCUUCUACACAUCUUGUGGAGUAUUUGAUUGCAGGGAUUUCCCAAAGGUUUCAUACGGGCCUCAUUUACAUACCAGGGGGUACAUGGGAAGCCAACAACCUCCAGUCCGCCCUUUGUGACACAGACG